Molecule: unclassified non-coding RNA, 220 nt
Filed under: plant metagenome
Description: partial contains small subunit ribosomal RNA, internal transcribed spacer 1, and 5.8S ribosomal RNA
Source: RNAcentral
UUUCCGUAGGUGAACCUGCGGAAGGAUCAUUACAGAGUUCAUGCCCUCACGGGUAGAUCUCCCACCCUUGAAUAUUUAUACCUUAGUUGCUUUGGCAGGCCGUGGAAACACCAUAGGCUCCGGCUUAUGCGUGCCUGCCAGAGGAAACAAACUCUGUUUUUAGUGAUGUCUGAGUACUAUAUAAUAGUUAAAACUUUCAACAACGGAUCUCUUGGUUCUG